This 200-nucleotide ribosomal RNA is filed under the name uncultured Glomus. Its description in RNAcentral is "partial small subunit ribosomal RNA". It matches the Rfam family "Eukaryotic small subunit ribosomal RNA", at positions 591 to 797 of the family's 1831-position model. Lineage: Eukaryota; Fungi; Glomeromycota; Glomeromycetes; Glomerales; Glomeraceae. The record is from RNAcentral.
CCAAUAGCGUAUAUUAAAGUUGUUGCAGUUAAAAAGCUCGUAGUUGAAUUUCGGGAUCAAUAUGCCGGUCAUGCCUUAGUAUGCACUGGUAUCUUUGAUUUCUUCCUUCUGACGAACUUUGAUGUCAUUAAUUUGGUGUCAUAGGGAAUCAGGACUGUUACUUUGAAAAAAUUAGAGUGUUUAAAGCAGGCUCAGGCUUG